GCAGUGCUCCCUCAGUCCCUGGAGUUCCCAGCCAAGCCACAGACCUGCCUCUGAGGAAGGGAAUCGAGCAGGGAGUAGGAGGGGACCUCUGGGGACUCGGGCCUGGAGCUCCUGCCUGCCUGGAUGAAGAGGAGGUCAAGACUUUGUCCCCCACUCCGCAAGAUACCCUCUCUGUUCCGGAGCGGUGGGUCCCUCCCCUGUUAGGACCUUGUCUCCCUCAGGACUGGACCUGGAUCCUGGGCCUGCAGUCAGAUUGCCAGUUUCACUUAGAGGUGGAAAUGUCAACCCACUGGUUGGAAUGGGAAGCUGCUGUGUUGUGAGCCACCUUAUGGAAAACCCAUGUGGCAGAGAACCGAGGGUGGUGGCUGGCCAACAGCAAGCCAGGAGCUGAGGCCCACAGUCCAACAACUGAGACUGGGUCCCACCAUAUUGCCUGGGCUGGCCUCGGACUCUUGACCCCAAGUGAUCCUCUGGCCUCAGCCUCCCAAGCAGCUGGAUUUACAGGCAGGCACCACCGCACCGAGCUAAAAGUUCCCCUCACACAGAGCGGAAGCACAGCCCUGGCAUCAAGUGGGAGCAUGGCCCAGGGCAAGGAGCUCUGGGAGUGCAGCCUGGGGCCUUGAAU
Molecule: long non-coding RNA, 625 nt
Filed under: Homo sapiens (human)
Lineage: Eukaryota; Metazoa; Chordata; Mammalia; Primates; Hominidae
Description: PREDICTED lncRNA (TCONS_00090411)
Source: RNAcentral